Molecule: non-coding RNA, 431 nt
Organism: Zootermopsis nevadensis
Lineage: Eukaryota; Metazoa; Arthropoda; Insecta; Blattodea; Termopsidae
Source: RefSeq, a predicted model, not a curated record
GAGGCCUUGCGAUGGGCCGAUCCCUCGUCCAAGGAGUGCUACCUAAUGUCUAUAGAUCAAGGCCCGCAGGUGCUCAAGACACUGAAGAACGGGACGCCUAAGAUAAACACGAUGUGCCAUAUGGUUUUGCUAAAGAAAGUACUUUGGCGUUAUAAAAAUCAAAACAUCAUCUCUCUGUGGAUGACACUGAUGAUCCCGCUAGAUGGUAACAAAAUACGUGGAAUUCUAGUUGCCUUUACGAACUUGGCAGAUAUAUAUUUACGUCUUAAGAACUAAAAGAGAUACAUAUAAAAUAUUCUUAUAAAUGUAUACACAUAUAUUAAAGCAAGACUAUGAACGUCUUCGCCUAUACAUAAACACAUGUACGUUAGUAGAUACUGGGACACGCGAGUGACUAUUGGUAAUAAACAUGUGGGUCUCUGCCGCUCAAA